This 327-nucleotide ribosomal RNA is filed under the name uncultured eukaryote. Its description in RNAcentral is "partial 18S ribosomal RNA". It matches the Rfam family "Eukaryotic small subunit ribosomal RNA", at positions 1470 to 1796 of the family's 1831-position model. The record is from RNAcentral.
CCCUUAGAUGUUCUGGGCUGCACGCGCGCUACACUGAAGCGUUCAACGAGUAUUCACCUUGCCCGGGAGGGUUGGGUAAUCUUUUCAAAACGCUUCGUGAUGGGGAUAGAUUAUUGCAAUUAUUAAUCUUCAACGAGGAAUGCCUAGUAGGCGCAAGUCAUCAGCUUGCGUCGAUUACGUCCCUGCCCUUUGUACACACCGCCCGUCGCUCCUACCGAUUGGGUGUGCUGGUGAAAUGUUCGGAUCGGCCGUUUGUCGCGGUUUCCGCGUCAUGUGGCUGAGAAGUUCAUUAAACCCUCCCACCUAGAGGAAGGAGAAGUCGUAACA